RNAcentral lists this ribosomal RNA (429 nucleotides) under Gemmatimonadota bacterium. RNAcentral's name for it is "Gemmatimonadetes bacterium partial 16S ribosomal RNA". It matches the Rfam family "Bacterial small subunit ribosomal RNA", at positions 355 to 776 of the family's 1533-position model. The record is from RNAcentral. Lineage: Bacteria; Pseudomonadati; Gemmatimonadota.
UAGGGAAUCUUCGGCAAUGGACGAAAGUCUGACCGAGCAACGCCGCGUGAGUGAAGAAGGUUUUCGGAUCGUAAAACUCUGUUGUUAGAGAAGAACAAGGACGUUAGUAACUGAACGUCCCCUGACGGUAUCUAACCAGAAAGCCACGGCUAACUACGUGCCAGCAGCCGCGGUAAUACGUAGGUGGCAAGCGUUGUCCGGAUUUAUUGGGCGUAAAGCGAGCGCAGGCGGUUUCUUAAGUCUGAUGUGAAAGCCCCCGGCUCAACCGGGGAGGGUCAUUGGAAACUGGGAGACUUGAGUGCAGAAGAGGAGGGUGGAAUUCCAUGUGUAGCGGUGAAAUGCGUAGAUAUAUGGAGGAACACCAGUGGCGAAGGCGGCUCUAUGGUCUGUAACUGACGCUGAGGCUCGAAAGCGUGGGGAGCAAACAGG